This 253-nucleotide ribosomal RNA is filed under the name uncultured bacterium. RNAcentral's name for it is "partial 16S ribosomal RNA". It matches the Rfam family "Bacterial small subunit ribosomal RNA", at positions 524 to 776 of the family's 1533-position model. The record is from RNAcentral.
UACGGAGGGGGCUAGCGUUGUUCGGGAUUACUGGGCGUAAAGCGCACGUAGGCGGCUUUGCAAGUUAGAGGUGAAAGCCCGGGGCUCAACUCCGGAAUUGCCUUUAAAACUGCAUCGCUAGAAUUGUGGAGAGGUAAGUGGAAUUCCGAGUGUAGAGGUGAAAUUCGUAGAUAUUCGGAAGAACACCAGUGGCGAAGGCGACUUACUGGACACAUAUUGACGCUGAGGUGCGAAAGCGUGGGGAGCGAACAGG